Molecule: long non-coding RNA, 1680 nt
Organism: Polistes dominula (European paper wasp)
Lineage: Eukaryota; Metazoa; Arthropoda; Insecta; Hymenoptera; Vespidae
Source: RefSeq, a predicted model, not a curated record
UCUCGUGCGUUGAGCGCGAACGAGGGGCUAUUUUCUUAUGCCGGACCCAUCUUCACGCGCUCGGCAAACAAAUACCCGACAAAACGGUCCCUCGCGGCACGAGCUCUCUCGUGCUUGCGCUCGUGCUCGCCCAACCUCCUAACAACCAAGCGAACAUCGAUGUCGUUUACCGAUUAGAGACAAAAAAAGAGAGAGAGAGAGAGAGAGAGAGAGAGGGGGAAGAAAGACUUGGCCAUAUCGUUUUCAUUUGUUUAUUUGAAAUCUAAUCGGUUCGAUAAUUCCUUCGUAGAAUAUACUUUCGUGGGAGAUACUCGCGUUCUAUACUCGGCUAACUCGACCGUUAUUUAUUUACCGUACUUUAUUCACUCGUUCACUGAUCUAUUUUCUUUCUCGAGUGAGCCUUACGGUUUAAUCAAAUGACUGUCAGUAGUGACACAGUUAUGCCAAUCUAGGGGAAAAUGUUAUUAGUCAUUUUUAAGAUUUUCUCUCGAGUACUUCUUCAAAGUUAAGAUCCAAACCUAACUGACUCUUCAAACAUAUAGUUUACUUAACAGACAAAUACUUUUCUACGAUCCCCAUAUCAGCUUUUGGCACGCAGCAAUGUUAAAACAGCAUCACAUUGAUUCGAAAGUUUACCGCUUUCGCCGAGCACGAAUGAAAGUAUGGCUUGGUUCUAAUGCAUUUCAAAGAAAAAUGGACGAUCUCACGUGACGGUCUAGACGAGCGCGUUUCCACGAAAAGGCUCGAUAUCGUUACACGCAACGGCUAUUGGAAAUCUUAACCUAUUAACGUUUUGAUUGAUAUGAAGAAGAAAAAGGAAAGAAAGAGAAUAGAAAAAUCGAAGGACCAUAAAACUAUCGAAAGUAUCUAACCGCGUUAUUUAAGUUUGGAUUUCUUUGAACAACAAUUUCAAAAGCUUAGUAUACGUGUCAAAGAUAAUGAUGAGAUACCAGAAAGAAUUCGAUAACGUUAAAAAGGUACAAGGAGGUUAAGCGGCAAGUUAAACGGAUCGAUCUAGAAGCUUCCUUCCGUUCAAAUUCCCCGGGCGUCGUCCUUUCACGCGGCUCUACAACACCGGCCGAGCCAGUCGUCGUUGUCGUCGUCGUCGUCGCUGUCAUCGGUCCAAUGGCAGAGUUCUCACUCGGGGGAGAGAGGAAGAGAAAGAAUAGAUUCUCCCAAUCGGUUAAGGGCGGUCAGAGUAGAGAGGUGGAGGUAUCGCGUGGCACGGGCCACGACGAACUACACAACGACGACGACGACGACGACGACGACAACAACACCAAGUGGAGGAGGGCGUCGAAACCGGAAGUGGUCCAUCGAGAAUGGGAGUUGCCUUGACAACCACGAUCUGCUUUAACUCCCGUUCGAUCAUAACGCCACCGUCACCGCCAUCGUCACCGCCACCGUCAUCACCACCGCCGCCGUCGUCAUCGUCGUCUCUCUUCGCGUCAUUUGAAAGCAGUCUAUUAUUUGGGGUCGCUGCAUCCUCCUGUGCAAGACUCUCUGUGCCGAUCCCUAACGAUUCUUCCCGAUCUACCUCGAACCUCACCGAAUAUUUCUGUUCGAACGCGUCUGCUCGUGCCACUGGACGCGUCCAUCGCUCGAGGACAGAACAGGAUUGUUUGCGCGUCAUCGAAUUAAACUGAUAUCAUUUAAUGUAAAUAAACAUUUAAAAGAUGA